GACGAACGCUGGCGGCGUGCUUAACACAUGCAAGUCGAGCGGUAAGGCCCUUUCGGGGGUACGACGAGCGGCGAACGGGUGAGUAACACGUGGGUGACCUGCCCUCAGCUCUGGGAUAAGCCUGGGAAACCGGGUCUAAUACCGGAUAUGACUCCAUGACGCAUGUUGUGGGGUGGAAAGCCUUGUGCGGCUGAGGAUGGGCCCGCGGCCUAUCAGCUUGUUGGUGGGGUGAUGGCCUACCAAGGCGACGACGGGUAGCCGGCCUGAGAGGGCGACCGGCCACACUGGGACUGAGACACGGCCCAGACUCCUACGGGAGGCAGCAGUGGGGAAUCUUGCGCAAUGGGCGAAAGCCUGACGCAGCGACGCCGCGUGAGGGAUGACGGCCUC
RNAcentral lists this ribosomal RNA (390 nucleotides) under uncultured bacterium. RNAcentral describes it as "bacterial SSU rRNA". It matches the Rfam family "Bacterial small subunit ribosomal RNA", at positions 28 to 418 of the family's 1533-position model. The record is from RNAcentral.